Molecule: long non-coding RNA, 1611 nt
Organism: Zeugodacus cucurbitae (melon fly)
Lineage: Eukaryota; Metazoa; Arthropoda; Insecta; Diptera; Tephritidae
Exons: 3
Source: RefSeq, a predicted model, not a curated record
AUUAAAAUAUUUUUUUGCUUUUAGCACACAUUCACCAUUCGUUUGUCAACGAGCGCGUACAAAUUUCCGCUGUGUAAUGCUCUCGCCGCUUAUGGCGCGUAUGAGUUCUACAUUCACUUUUUCUUCCAUUCAACAAAUGCGGCCAGCAAAUCAGCGCAUAUCACAAUCGAAGAAAAGAAAUCAAUUGUCUAUAAAACGAAGACGAAAAAAAAAAUAAAGCAGAUCGCUCACUAGUGGCAUUCGAACACUAAAUAUUGGCUGAACUCCAUCUCCACAACUUAUUAUCGGCCAAUGAGAUGACAAAGUGGACAAUUGAAUUUGAAACGCUUCUACGAAGUUGUCACGCUCAUCUCCAGCUCGUGAUUGAUUUCGUGCGACGCACACUUGAACCCGGAAUUAGCAUUGAAAAACCUUAGCGAUUAGUCAUAUAUAAAUUAAUAAUGGAAAUAAUAAAGCAAGUUGACGACGCAACGGUGCGAAAGACAAAUUUAACAGUAAACAAAAGCAAAUUAGUCAAUUACUGAAGCGCCCAACAACGUUCGCUGUGCGACAGCUGCAGCAGCGCACCGCAACUUCAAAUCCGCAACACACGACGACCACAACGCCAGCCAUUCCAGCUAUGCUCAACAACAAUAACAACAAACGGCGCGUCAUCAGCAAUCAGCACAUCAUCGACAGUCAAGGACGUUGAAGGCCAUUCAUCGACAUUUUACAUUUGUUAUUGCGCCAGCUAUUGGUUGUUGUGAUGGCGAUGUUGAGCUUGGUGUGCUGCUUGUUAGUUGUUAUUAUUUUUGUUGUAAAGCUUUUGUUCCCGCUUUAUACAAAAAAAAAUCGUUUUUUUUUGCUCUGCCAACCACAUUCGUUUUCAUUAUUUCCACAUAUUCGUUGGUGCGCAUGCGCAUCUGUGUAUUUACUCGUGUGUUUGUGUGUGUGUGUGUGUUGGGAGGUUUGUACGGAAGUAGACAUCUAAUUUUUCACACCUGACUUCGAAGGAGGCGUAACAUAUAUUUUGUGCUGAUUCUAUAGCUUCGAGCCAGCCACAAGCGAAAAUUGUGCUCUGUGCGCCUCUGUGUGUAAGUAGUUAAGGCAUUAAUUCUAAAGGAAGACGAUUUUUCUUUUCGUCGGAUUAUUUACCAAUCAACUGAACAAGAAGUAGUAAUUAUUUGGCCUGUAGUAUUUUGUUUUUAAUUAUCAAGUUGUUUGUGAAAACGAAAUUACACUGAAGCGUAAAUGGUUCCAUUAAAAUUAAAGGAAAAAAUUAAAAGAUUUGAAAGCUUAUAGGAGAUAUAAGCUUACGUCAACCGAAAUAUUGUGACGUAGAUGGAGCAGUUCGGAUUGAAUUCUUUUAGGAUUGAAUUCUAAUUUUUUUAGAGACUGCUACUGCAAUGCUUUCGAGGGACUGUUGAACAGCAAAAGCACAAUUAAUGUUGCCUACAUUCCGGCGCAAUUGCAUAAUACACUAACAGCCGGUUUCACGAAAGUUUUUAAUGGAAAAUUAAGUUCCAUUUAGUUUUAAUUUUAAUUUUUAUUUAACUUUGCACUUAAAUUUCCUGCGUUUCACCAUUAUUGACAUUUGGCAUCCAAAAAAUUAAAAGGCAGGGAUGUUGGUAA